RNAcentral lists this ribosomal RNA (468 nucleotides) under uncultured bacterium. Its description in RNAcentral is "partial 16S ribosomal RNA". It matches the Rfam family "Bacterial small subunit ribosomal RNA", at positions 28 to 507 of the family's 1533-position model. The record is from RNAcentral.
GACGAACGCUGGCGGCGUGCUUAACACAUGCAAGUCGAACGGAAAGGCCCUGCUUUUGUGGGGUGCUCGAGUGGCGAACGGGUGAGUAACACGUGAGUAACCUGCCCUUGACUUUGGGAUAACUUCAGGAAACUGGGGCUAAUACCGGAUAGGAGCUCCUGCUGCAUGGUGGGGGUUGGAAAGUUUCGGCGGUUGGGGAUGGACUCGCGGCUUAUCAGCUUGUUGGUGGGGUAGUGGCUUACCAAGGCGUUGACGGGUAGCCGGCCUGAGAGGGUGACCGGCCACAUUGGGACUGGAAUUCGGCCCAGAGUUCUUCGGGAGGCUACAGUGGGGAAUCUUGCAGAAUGGGCGGAAUCCAGAUGCAGCAACGCCGCGUGCGGGGUGACGGCCUUCGGGUUGUAAAGCGCUUUCGCCUGUGCCGAUGCGUGAGUGACGGUAAUGGGUGAAGAAGCACCGGGGAACUACGUG